AACGAACGCUGGCGGCAGGCCUAAAACAUGCAAGUCGAACGCCCCGCAAGGGGAGUGGCGCACGGGUGAGUAACGCGUGGGAAUGUGCCCCUUAGUACGGGACAACGUCGGGAAACUGACGCUAAUACCGUAUAAUAUCUCAGGAUCAAAGAUUUAUCGCUAUUGGAGGGGCUUGCGGGGUAUUCGCUAGUUGGUGAGGUAAUGGCUCACCAAGGCUACGAUACCUAACCGGUCUGAGAGGAUGAUCGGUCACACUGGGACUGAGACACGGCCCAGACUCCUACGGGAGGCAGCAGUGGGGAAUUUUGGACAAUGGGCGAAAGCCUGAUCCAGCCAUGCCGCGUGAGUGAAGAAGGCCUUCGGGUUGGUAAGGUACUCUUUCUAGACGG
RNAcentral lists this ribosomal RNA (389 nucleotides) under uncultured bacterium. RNAcentral's name for it is "bacterial SSU rRNA". It matches the Rfam family "Bacterial small subunit ribosomal RNA", at positions 29 to 444 of the family's 1533-position model. The record is from RNAcentral.